GUGAUUAGCUGCAGUCGAGCGAGAAGGAAAUCAAAGUUUACUUUGGUUUCCGGAAAGCGGCGAAAGGGAGAGUAACGCGUAGUUAUCUACCCCAAGGCCCGGAAUAGCUGCGGGAAACUGCAGGUAAUGCCGGAUAAUAUCCCCGGAUCAAAGGUGUGAAUCCGCCUUGGGAGGAGACUGCGUUGUACUAGCUUGUUGGUAGGGUAAUGGCCUACCAAGGCUACGAUGCAUAGCGGGCGUGAGAGCGUGGCCCGUCUCACUGGGACUGAAACACUGCCCAGACACCUACGGGUGGCUGCAGUCGAGAAUCUUCGGCAAUGGGCGAAAGCCUGACCGAGCGAUGCCGCGUGCGGGAUGAAGGCCUUCGGGUUGUAAACCGCUGUCGUAGGGGAGAAAGGGCCGUCGAAGAGACGGUUUUGAUCUAUCCUAGGAGGAAGUCCGGGCUAAGUUCGUGCCAGCAGCCGCGGUAACACGAACCGGACAAACGUUAUUCGGAAUUAUUGGGCUUAAAGGGUGCGUAGGCGGUGCGGUAAGUGCGGUGUGAAAUCCCACGGCUCAACCGUGGAAUUGCGCUGCAUACUGCCGUGCUAGAGGGAGACAGGGGUAAGCGGAACUGAUGGUGGAGCGGUGAAAUGCGUUGAUAUCAUCAGGAACACCGGUGGCGAAAGCGGCUUACUGGGUCUUCUCUGACGCUGAGGCACGAAAGCUAGGGUAGCGAACGGGAUUAGAUACCCCGGUAGCCCUAGCCGUAAACGAUGAGCACUUGAUUGAGGGCCCCCCCAUAGGCUCUCGAUCGCAGCGA
Molecule: ribosomal RNA, 802 nt
Filed under: uncultured bacterium
Lineage: Bacteria
Description: bacterial SSU rRNA
Rfam family: Bacterial small subunit ribosomal RNA
Source: RNAcentral